This 104-nucleotide Y RNA is filed under the name Saimiri boliviensis boliviensis (Bolivian squirrel monkey). RNAcentral's name for it is "Y RNA (ENSSBOG00000001078.1)". It matches the Rfam family "Y RNA". Rfam says of the family: Y RNAs are components of the Ro ribonucleoprotein particle (Ro RNP), in association with Ro60 and La proteins. The Y RNAs and Ro60 and La proteins are well conserved, but the function of the Ro RNP is not known. The record is from Rfam by way of RNAcentral. Lineage: Eukaryota; Metazoa; Chordata; Mammalia; Primates; Cebidae.
GGCUAGUCUAAGUACAGUGAUGUUUACAACUAAUUGAUCACAACCAGUUACAGAUUUCUUAGUUCCUUUUCUACUUCCAUUGCUUCACUUGACUAUUGCCUCAC